This 253-nucleotide ribosomal RNA is filed under the name uncultured bacterium. RNAcentral describes it as "partial 16S ribosomal RNA". It matches the Rfam family "Bacterial small subunit ribosomal RNA", at positions 524 to 776 of the family's 1533-position model. The record is from RNAcentral.
GACGAACCGAGCGAACGUUGUUCGGAAUCACUGGGCUUAAAGGGCGCGUAGGCGGGGUCAUAAGUCUGUGGUGAAAUCCUCCGGCUCAACCGGAGAACUGCCUCGGAUACUGUGGCUCUCGAGGGUGGUAGGGGUAUGCGGAACUAUCGGUGGAGCGGUGAAAUGCGUUGAUAUCGAUAGGAACUCCGGUAGCGAAGGCGGCAUACUGGACCACUUCUGACGCUGAGGCGCGAAAGCCAGGGGAGCAAACGGG